Non-coding RNA from Acanthosepion pharaonis, 90 nucleotides. NCBI's taxonomy places the organism in Eukaryota, Metazoa, Mollusca, Cephalopoda, Sepiida, Sepiidae. The record is from the annotation of a GenBank genome assembly.
GUUAAAACACCGGUUCUCAUCCGAUCUCAAAAGUUAAGCAGCACUGAACAUGGUCAAUACUUAGAUGAGUGACCGCUCAGGAAUACCAGC